UACGAAGGGGGCUAGCGUUGCUCGGAAUCACUGGGCGUAAAGGGUGCGUAGGCGGGUCUUUAAGUCAGGGGUGAAAUCCUGGAGCUCAACUCCAGAACUGCCUUUGAUACUGAAGAUCUUGAGUUCGGGAGAGGUGAGUGGAACUGCGAGUGUAGAGGUGAAAUUCGUAGAUAUUCGCAAGAACGCCAGUGGCGAAGGCGGCUCACUGGCCCGAUACUGACGCUGAGGUGCGAAAGCGUGGGGAGCAAACAGG
This 253-nucleotide ribosomal RNA is filed under the name uncultured bacterium. RNAcentral's name for it is "partial 16S ribosomal RNA". It matches the Rfam family "Bacterial small subunit ribosomal RNA", at positions 524 to 776 of the family's 1533-position model. The record is from RNAcentral.